Non-coding RNA from Arachis ipaensis, 609 nucleotides. Lineage: Eukaryota; Viridiplantae; Streptophyta; Magnoliopsida; Fabales; Fabaceae. The record is from RefSeq and is a predicted model, not a curated record.
UAGGAGCUUUCUUCGAUGGGGAAAGAAUAAUUUGGACCUUGAAGGACCAGGUUAUAAAUUCAAAUAAUAAAAAAUGCAUGAGUUGGUUCACAAAUAAAGUAGAAUAACAGUUGAGAGGAAUUUGAAAACAUUUUAGAAUUUUUUAUUACAAGAAAGCACCAACGGCACAUCAUGGUGGAGGAGAUCUGCUUGGUGUCAUCGCUGCGUCGUCUUCCUCGACAAUUUGGGCGUGGACUCAGUGUCGCUGGCUGAGGAGAUAUGAGAGAAGAGCAAAACAAAGAGAUUCAGAGAGAAGAGAGAGCUCGCUUCGCCGUCGUCUUGCCGUCGCCACCGCAGUUCAUCGCCUCUCCAAAUCUGGUUGCAACGCCCAAGCCUUUGAGGAUGUUCCAUUAUUACCUCCUUGACGAGACGCAGAACAAGCUCGAUUAUAUCCCCCCUCUCUCUCUCUCACUGUUGAGAACUUCCUCGAGUGCCGCCUCCAUAUUCUCGUCUUCAAGUCCGGCAUGGCCAAGUUCAUCCAUCAGUGCAUAUUAGGCCACAGAGGAGGUUCAUUGAGCUGAAGGGUCUGGAGAAAAUCAUACAGGAAAGAAUAUUAGCAUUUCAGUGGAG